This 502-nucleotide ribosomal RNA is filed under the name uncultured bacterium. RNAcentral's name for it is "bacterial SSU rRNA". It matches the Rfam family "Bacterial small subunit ribosomal RNA", at positions 28 to 523 of the family's 1533-position model. The record is from RNAcentral.
GACGAACGCUGGCGGCGUGGAUUAGGCAUGCAAGUCGAACGGUAUCAUCCUUUCGGGGGUGAGAGAGUGGCGAACUGGUGAGUAACACGUAGGUUAUCUACCCUCAAGACGGGGACAACCCAGGGAAACUUGGGCUAAUACCGGAUGUGAGCAACUUUUAGUUGUUUGAAAGGUGGCGUAAGCUGUCGCUUGGGGAUGAGCCUGCGUCCUAUUAGUUAGUUGGUGAGGUAACGGCUCACCUAGGCAAUGAUAGGUAGGCGGCCUUAACGGGUGGUCGCCCACACUGGGAUUGAGAUACGGCCCAGACUCCUACGGGAGGCAGCAGUCGAGAAUAGUCUACAAUGGUCGGAAGACUGAUAGUGCGACGCCGCGUGAACGAUGAAUCCCUUCGGGGUGUAAAGUUCUUUUAUAUGUGAGCAGUGCUUCUUAUAUUAACAGUAUGGGGAGAGAGAUAUUAGCAUAUGAAUAAGCAACGGCUAACUCCGUGCCAGCAGCCGGGUAA